RNAcentral lists this ribosomal RNA (384 nucleotides) under uncultured bacterium. Its description in RNAcentral is "bacterial SSU rRNA". It matches the Rfam family "Bacterial small subunit ribosomal RNA", at positions 29 to 426 of the family's 1533-position model. The record is from RNAcentral.
AACGAACGCUGGCGGCAGGCCUAACACAUGCAAGUCGAACGCCGUAGCAAUACGGAGUGGCAGACGGGUGGGUAACGCGUGGGAACAUACCCCUCGGUUCGGAAUAACUUAGGGAAACUUGAGCUAAUACCGGAUACGUCCGAGGUUUUAACCGGCCUCGGAGAAAGAUUUAUCGCCGGAGGAUUGGCCCGCGUCUGAUUAGCUUGUUGGUGAGGUAAUGGCUCACCAAGGCGACGAUCAGUAGCUGGUCUGAGAGGAUGAUCAGCCACAUUGGGACUGAGACACGGCCCAAACUCCUACGGGAGGCAGCAGUGGGGAAUAUUGGACAAUGGGCGAAAGCCUGAUCCAGCCAUGCCGCGUGAGUGAUGAAGGCCUUAGGGUUGC